UUUCGGUACACGUGCAAUCUCUCUUUUACAAAGCCAUAGCAAUCCCCAAUUAUUUAUGUGUCUUCGGCCAAAAUCCGACUUUAUCACAUUCCGGGGGGCCCACAUUUCUUUAUAAAAAAAUAAUAAGCAUAAAUAUCGUUCCGAUCUCUCCAGGAUGUUUACGACAUACAUUUCCUUUCCUUCCAAUGCAGGAGAAUAAAAAAUGUCGGACUUCGACGACAAGAGUGGAGUUGUUCCAUGCAAAACGUCGUGGGGACAAUGGUGGCAGACAAUCGACGAAGUGUUUAUAGAGGUUGACGUCCCAAAAGACACCAAAUCAAGAGAAAUAAAGUGCGAAAUCAAGCCGAACAGCAUUCGCGUAGCAGUGAAGGAAAACACAAUUAUUAAUGGUUACUUAGCAGAGACUGUAAAAGCAGAUGAUUCUCUGUGGACUUUAGAGGACAGGAGGUUGAUGAGGAUUUGCCUGGUAAAAUGCCAUGCUACUGCAGCUGACUGUUGGAAGUCCCUCAUCAGAGGCCAGUACGAAGUGGAUCCCCUGACGCUGAGUGAGAUGGAGAAGAAGCUGACCCUGCAGCGCUUCCAGAUGGAGAACCCAGGAUUUGACUUCAGUGGGGCAGAGGUAACUGGCAACUAUUCAGGUGGAGGACCACAGCUGUCUGCAUCGUGACGUAGGGGUUUGAUCAUAAAGGACAGAGGAGGACCACAGCUGUCUGCAUCAUCACACAGGGCUUUGAUCAUAAAGAACAGGAGAUGACCACAGCUGUCUGCAUCAUCACAGGGGUUUGAUCAUAGAGAAGAGAGCAUGACCGUAGCUGUCUGCAUCAUGGCACAGGGCUUUGAUCAUAGAGGAAAGAGCAUGACUGUAGCUGUCUGCAUCAUCACACAGGGCUUUGAUCAAAAAGAACAGGAGAUGACCACAGCUGUCUGCAUCAUCACAGGGGUUUGAUCAUAAAGGACGGGAUGAGAGUAGCUGUCUGCAUCAUCACAGGGGUUUGAUCAUAGAGGAGAGAGUAUGACCGUAGCUGUCUGCAUCAUCACACAUGGGUUUGAUCAUAAAGGACGGGAUGAGAGUAGCUGUCUGCAUCAUCACAGGGGUUUGAUCAUAGAGGAGAGAGCAUGACCGUAGCUUUCUGCAUCAUCACACAGGGGUUUGAUCAUAAAGGACGGGAUGAGAGUAGCUGUCUGCAUCAUCACAGGGAUUUGAUCAUAGAGAAGAGAGCAUGACUGUAGCUGUCUGCAUCGUGGCACGGGUAUGAUCAUAGAGAAGAGAGCAUGACUGUAGCUGUCUGCAUCGUGGCACGGGUAUGAUCAUAGAGAAGAGAGCAUGACUGUAGCUGUCUGCAUCGUGGCACGGGUAUGAUCAUAGAGAAGAGAGCAUGACUGUAGCUGUCUGCAUCGUGGCACGGGUAUGAUCAUAGAGAAGAGAGCAUGACUGUAGCUGUCUGCAUCGUGGCACGGGUAUGAUCAUAGAGAAGAGAGCAUGACUGUAGCUGUCUACGUCGUGGCACGGAUAUGAUCAUAAAGAACAGGGAUGACCACAGCUGUCUGCAUCGUCACACAUGUUUGAUCAUAAAGGAGAGAGCAUGACCGUAGCUGUCUGCAUCAUCACAGGGGUUUGUCAUGCAAGUACUGAAAACGGUUGUCCCCAAUGAGAGAUGCAUUAGUACAGUGAGUCUAACCUUUGACAGGAAAAAAACAACUGCCUGUCUUCCUUCCAUCAUCUGUGUUGAGAAUGAUGAGGGCUACGAGGGACUAUGCGGUCAUCCUAAGUGCAUUCAACAGGUAUACUUCACUCUGGCCAGAUUUCUGCUGGUGAAGCAAUCACAAGGAACUGUUUCCUGUUAACCAAUUUGUGUCUUUAUCAUCCAUAUCAAUGUUUUUAUAACAAUUUUUAAAUUAUCAUUUAUGACUGUGUCUCAUAUCAAGAUGGAGUCAAACAUUGAAAUGAUUCUAAUGUACCUAUUGGAGGAAUUUAAAAGCUAAUUUUAUACUUUGCCAUUAAACUAAUAUGAUUAUUAUUAGAUUUAUUAUUGUU
Molecule: RNA transcript, 2035 nt
Organism: Haliotis rufescens (red abalone)
Lineage: Eukaryota; Metazoa; Mollusca; Gastropoda; Lepetellida; Haliotidae
Gene name: nudC domain-containing protein 2-like
Exons: 5
Source: RefSeq, a predicted model, not a curated record